GACGAACGCUGGCGGCGUGCUUAACACAUGCGAGUCGAACGGAAAGGCCUGCUUUCCCUUGUGGAUUGCGGGUACUCGAGUGGCGAACGGGUGAGUAACACGUGAGUGAUCUGCCCCAACUUGGGUAUAAGCCUGGGAAACUGGGUCUAAUUCCCGAUAGGACUGCAGGGUGGUGCCUGUGGUGGAAAACGAUUUUCUAGUGGUUGGGGAUGAGCUCGCGGCCUAUCAGCUUGUUGGUGGGGUAAUGGCCUACCAAGGCGGCGACGGGUAGCCGGCCUGAGAGGGUGGACGGCCACAUUGGGACUGAGAUACGGCCCAGACUCCUACGGGAGGCAGCAGUGGGGAAUAUUGCACAAUGGGCGGAAGCCUGAUGCAGCGACGCCGCGUGGGGGAUGACGGCCUUCGGGUUGUAAACUCCUUUCGACCGCGAGGAAGCCACCUGGUUGGAAGGGUGGUGACGGUAGUGGUAGAAGAAGCACCGGCUAACUACGUG
This 493-nucleotide ribosomal RNA is filed under the name uncultured bacterium. RNAcentral describes it as "partial 16S ribosomal RNA". It matches the Rfam family "Bacterial small subunit ribosomal RNA", at positions 28 to 507 of the family's 1533-position model. The record is from RNAcentral.